This 144-nucleotide non-coding RNA is filed under the name Schistosoma mansoni. The record is from RNAcentral. Lineage: Eukaryota; Metazoa; Platyhelminthes; Trematoda; Strigeidida; Schistosomatidae.
CCCUACCGUUGCUGCUACCUCGACUUGGUGGUUGGGCUUGUUUAUUGUGAUGAACUAAUCGAGCUAUACUGGCUGGAGAAAUCGUUCCUCAAGGUCUUACCAUACCAGACAGGUCGGUUGAAGAGCGGUAAGACUAAAAGCAGC